UCUUUGGAAAGAAAGCAAACCAUCCCAUGACGAUGGAUAGUGUAAAGAACGUUAAGAAAAGAAAAUAUAGUGAGGAUUUUUUACAGCAUGGUUUUACCUCAAUAAUUACAGCAGGAAUUGAGAAACUGCAAUGUCUUAUUUGUUUUGAAGUUCUAUCAGCCAAAUCUAUGAAGCCAAACAAACUAAAAUGCCAUUUUGAUAGCAAGCAUUAGAGCUUUGCCAGAAAGGAUACUAACUAUUUUAGAAGCAAAUCUGAUGGACUCAAGAAAGCCAUACUUGAAAUUGAUGGCAAGUACCACAAACAAAAUGUAGCAGCCAUUGAAGCUUCAUAUUUGGUGGCACUCAGAAUUGCCAGAGCUAUGAAACCUCACACCAUUGCUGAGGAUUUACUGUCGCCAGCAGCUAAAGACAUUGUUCAAGUUGUGAUUGGAGACAAAAAUUUGUUAUGAAAUUGAGUGCAAUUUCCUUAUCUAACGACACUGUUCUCAGAAGAAUAGAUGACAUGUCUGCUGAUAUUCUUGAUUAGGUAAUCCAGGAAAUUAAAUCUGCUCCACUUCUAAUAUUUAGUAUCCAGCUUGAUGAAACUACAAACAUUGCAAACUGUUCACAUUUACUGGUUUAUGUGAGGUAUAUUAAUGGUGGCGACUUUAAAGAUGACUUUCUUUCUUGCAAACCUCUUGAAAUGAAACUACUGCACGUGAUGUAUUUAACACAGUUGGUUCAUUACUGAAAGAGCAUAAGAUCUCUUGGGAAAAAGUUUGUGGUGUUUGCACAGAUGGUGCUCCAGCUAUGCUAGGAUAUCGAUCUGGAUUUCAACAUUUGGUACUGAAUGAGUCAAGAAAAGUCAUCAGAACUCAGUGUAUGAUUCAUUGGCAAAUAUUAGCAAUGAAGAUGCUGACACAAGAGUUACAAGAAGUAAUGAAAAAUGUCAUAACUUCUGUCAAUUUUGUAAAGGUGAGCACUUUAAAAUAGUCGACUGUUCUCACAACUGUGCAACCAGUUGGAUGUGCUGAACAAUGCUCUGCUAUUUCACACUGAAGUGAGAUGGUUGUCAAGAGGAAAAGUUUUAAAAUGUGUUUUUGAGCUUUGUGAUGAACUCAAAACGUUUUUUUAAUCAGGAAGACCACAGUUUGAAGCAUUUUUCAGCAAUAAAAGUGAACUGCAGAAAAUAGUUUACUUGGUUGCCAUCUUUGCCAUCUUGAAUGAGUUAAAUUUAUCACUGCAAGGACAAAAUGCAACAUGCCUCAAUUUGUCUGAAAAGAUCCGAUCAUUGCAAAUGAAACGAGCUUAAAAAAAAAAAAGGGAUGAAAAUAAAAUUUACAUGUUGCCUACCUUAUCUGCUUUCUUUGAGGGACAUGACAUUGAACAAGACAAAAGGGUUACAAUGAUAAUUUCUGUGAAAGAACACUUGCACAUGCUUGUAGAUGAAAUUUCAUAGUACUUUCCAAAUCUACCUGACACUCCAUUUGCACUUGCC
This is a long non-coding RNA of Pipistrellus kuhlii (Kuhl's pipistrelle), 1477 nucleotides long. RefSeq lists it as uncharacterized. The record is from RefSeq and is a predicted model, not a curated record. NCBI's taxonomy places the organism in Eukaryota, Metazoa, Chordata, Mammalia, Chiroptera, Vespertilionidae. The transcript has 3 exons.